UGAGGAAUAUUGGUCAAUGGACGAGAGUCUGAACCAGCCAAGUAGCGUGAAGGAUGACUGCCCUAUGGGUUGUAAACUUCUUUUAUACGGGAAUAAAGUGAGGUACGUGUGCCUUUUUGUAUGUACCGUAUGAAUAAGGAUCGGCUAACUCCGUGCCAGCAGCCGCGGUAAUACGGAGGAUCCAAGCGUUAUCCGGAUUUAUUGGGUUUAAAGGGUGCGUAGGCGGUUUGAUAAGUUAGAGGUGAAAUCCCGGGGCUUAACUCCGGAACUGCCUCUAAUACUGUUAGACUAGAGAGUAGUUGCGGUAGGCGGAAUGUAUGGUGUAGCGGUGAAAUGCUUAGAGAUCAUACAGAACACCGAUUGCGAAGGCAGCUUACCAAACUAUAUCUGACGUUGAGGCACGAAAGCGUGGGGAGCAAACAGGAUUAGAUACCCUGGUAGUCCACGCAGUAAACGAUGAUAACUCGUUGUCGGCGAUACACAGUCGGUGACUAAGCGAAAGCGAUAAGUUAUCCACCUGGGGAGUACGUUCGCAAGAAUGAAACUCAAAGGAAUUGACGGGGGCCCGCACAAGCGGAGGAACAUGUGGUUUAAUUCGAUGAUACGCGAGGAACCUUACCCGGGCUUGAAAGUUACUGACGAUUCUGGAAACAGGAUUUCCCUUCGGGGCAGGAAACUAGGUGCUGCAUGGUUGUCGUCAGCUCGUGCCGUGAGGUGUCGGGUUAAGUCCCAUAACGAGCGCAACCCCUACCGUUAGUUGCCAUCAGGUCAAGCUGGGCACUCUGGCGGGACUGCCGGUGUAAGCCGAGAGGAAGGUGGGGAUGACGUCAAAUCAGCACGGCCCUUACGUCCGGGGCUACACACGUGUUACAAUGGUAGGUACAGAGGGUCGCUACCCCGCGAGGGGAUGCCAAUCUCGAAAGCCUAUCUCAGUUCGGAUUGGAGGCUGAAACCCGCCUCCAUGAAGUUGGAUUCGCUAGUAAUCGCGCAUCAGCCAUGGCGCGGUGAAUACGUUCCC
Molecule: ribosomal RNA, 1018 nt
Filed under: uncultured bacterium
Lineage: Bacteria
Also listed under: 1 other name
Description: bacterial SSU rRNA
Rfam family: Bacterial small subunit ribosomal RNA
Source: RNAcentral